UACAGAGAGUGCAAACGUUGUUCGGAAUUACUGGGCUUGAAGCGCACGUAGGCGGCGCCACAAGUGUCGGGUGAAAUCCCACGGCUUACCCGUGGAACUGCCAGGCAGACUGUGGUGCUCGAGUGUGGUAGGGGAGAGCGGAACUCCUGGUGGAGCGGUGAAAUGCGCAGAUAUCAGGAGGAACACCGGUGGCGAAGGCGGAUCUCUGGGCCUUACCUGACGCUCAGGCGCGAAAGCUAGGGGAGCAAACAGG
Molecule: ribosomal RNA, 253 nt
Filed under: uncultured bacterium
Lineage: Bacteria
Description: partial 16S ribosomal RNA
Rfam family: Bacterial small subunit ribosomal RNA
Source: RNAcentral